Molecule: ribosomal RNA, 491 nt
Filed under: uncultured bacterium
Lineage: Bacteria
Description: partial 16S ribosomal RNA
Rfam family: Bacterial small subunit ribosomal RNA
Source: RNAcentral
AGUGAACGCUGGCGGUAGGCCUAACACAUGCAAGUCGAACGGCAGCACAGUAAGAGCUUGCUCUUACGGGUGGCGAGUGGCGGACGGGUGAGGAAUACAUCGGAAUCUACUUUUUCGUGGGGGAUAACGUAGGGAAACUUACGCUAAUACCGCAUACGACCUACGGGUGAAAGCAGGGGAUCUUCGGACCUUGCGCGAUUGAAUGAGCCGAUGUCGGAUUAGCUAGUUGGCGGGGUAAAGGCCCACCAAGGCGACGAUCGGUAGCUGGUCUGAGAGGAUGGUCAGCCACACUGGAACUGAGACACGGUCCAGACUCCUACGGGAGGCAGCAGUGGGGAAUAUUGGACAAUGGGCGCAAGCCUGAUCCAGCCAUACCGCGUGGGUGAAGAAGGCCUUCGGGUUGUAAAGCCCUUUUGUUGGGAAAGAAAAGCAGCAGGUUAAUACCCCGCUGUUCUGACGGUACCCAAAGAAUAAGCACCGGCUAACUUCGU